GCUGAUGCUCUCAUCUCUCCGUGGUUGUGUUGGGACAAUCCCUGCCCCUCAGGCUCAGUGCUCCAGGCUGCCCCAAGGAGAGGCUCAGCCAGCAAGGACACAGAAACAGUGACAGGGAAUGGGGACUGUGGGCAAAGCACAGCCCCUCCCUCUGGCGAGGGCAGGCAGAGUCUCUGGACCGGACUGAUAAGGGUACCUCAGGUGUCUCGGCCCAAACUUUUCCUGCGAAGAAUAAUAAGAUGAUCCAGUGGGGAGUUCCUGAAUCCACCCCGUGACUUUGGCAAACUCCAGUUGUGGAAAGAGAAGACAUGGUGCCACUAGAAAGGCAAGGCCUGAAUCCGGAUCGAGUUUGUUGGACUGAUGAGCUCGACUUUUUGGCUUGAGGAGAGAGUUCAGCAGAAGUGCAGGAAUGUCCCUGGGCAGAAGCAGUCCUAACAGGGUGCACAGAUCGAACAGUGCCCCAGCAUCCUUAGUCCAUGCAGACAGAGAGUGGGAGAAGAGAGAGAGAGAGGUUGGAGCCCAUCAGCCAAGCGCAGCAGAGCCCCCGUGAACAGUGCAGCGUGGUUUGUUCUCACACAAUGUGGAUUCGCACAAAUGGGAUUUUCCUGCAUGUGUCUCUUGCCUUAUUCGCUCUGUGAGCUGUUUGGAGUGGGCAUGUGUCGGAGUUGUGUUGUGUCAGAGCACAGCACUUUCACGGCACUAACCCCAUGUCUGAUACUAACCCCACCCCUGAUCUGCACCCUGACUCAGUGCCAUGCAGACCACAAACCCUUCCCUUCCACUUGCCACCUUUCCUCCCUUCUAGGUCAUAGAGAGAACAGGAAGCUGUGUUUUCCCUUCAGUAUGCUCAACAUGCUCGCAGCUCUGCAUUAAGACAAUGACUAUAAUCAAUCUCAUGCUUCAAGGCUUCCACCAGUCAUCUGCAGGGGUCAGGAAGGAAGUUUUUGCCUCCUGAUGCAUAGUUGGCCAGAUGUAUUAUGGAUUUUUUUCACCUUUCUCUGAAGCAGGGGUGUGCAAUAAUUUUGACAGAGGGGCCACUCUGUGAAUUUUGUGGUACAGCAUCACCAGGAGAUACAUGCAUCGGACUAUCCCACUGCUCCAUGGCUAGAGCACUGCCUUGAGAGGUGGAAAAUCCCUCUGCAAAUCCUUUCUCACCCUCAGGCAAUGGGGGAAUAGAGCCUGGGUCUCCCACAUCCCCAAUGAGUGUGUUGUCCACUGGGACCUGCCUGCAACUGCUGCUGAUUUGUGUGGAGCGAGGCAGGUGCCAAACUUUUUCUCCCGAGUGACACAGGUACCUGAGCUGCCUGCCUCUGGGGGCACUCCCAGCUGUGGAUCACUAGCAGAGAUCAGCCCUCCCUGCAUCCCUGACUUAGGCCCCAAGCUCCAAGAGAGGAGCAGGAUUUACGACUCCGGCUUUUGUGAGUGGCAUUCUAAGGCGCCUCUCCCCAUUCAUUGUAUAGGGAGCCUGGGUGCCUAACUCAGGCUCUGUGGCCUGCAGUGAUGUUCCUGUGGUUUUCUAGUGGCCUAAAAUGUAGGUGUUGUCAUGCUCAGCAUCGCAAUACCUCAGUGCCUUGUAGAUCCAGGUCUCAGAUACUGUAGUGAUGCGCACCACAGAAAACCCAGGCGGAAAUUAAUAACUGUCUGCAGAGCAGAGUUUGAACAGUGUGCUGUGAAUAAGGCCUCGGGUUACACACUGAACAAUGAAGAUGUAACAGAAUAGUGAGUAGCAGCUCAUUCAGGGAACACUUUUCACCCCAUGGAGUGUGGAAAAAUAGAAGCUGGGACCGUGUAACUAAAGACUGGCUCAUCAUGUAUACCCACAAGAGGGCUUCAUUAUGGCUGCACAGGAAAAUCUUAAUUCUGGAAUUUCCUACCUUUUGGGUACUUGACUUUGCAACCUUAAUAAUGUUCUUUUUAAAGUAGUUCAUGUUUUUGGGGUGUGUAAUAAUUUAUACAAGCUAGAUGGAGACUUGUGGGGCUCUGCCCCUGUGAGGGGGAGAAGCACAAAUGAUGGGGCAGAGUUAAGGCUGGGGCG
Long non-coding RNA from Mauremys reevesii (Reeves's turtle), 2035 nucleotides. RefSeq lists it as uncharacterized. Lineage: Eukaryota; Metazoa; Chordata; Testudines; Geoemydidae. The record is from RefSeq and is a predicted model, not a curated record. The transcript has 4 exons.